This 329-nucleotide ribosomal RNA is filed under the name uncultured Streptococcus sp. RNAcentral's name for it is "bacterial SSU rRNA". It matches the Rfam family "Bacterial small subunit ribosomal RNA", at positions 1049 to 1382 of the family's 1533-position model. The record is from RNAcentral. Lineage: Bacteria; Bacillati; Bacillota; Bacilli; Lactobacillales; Streptococcaceae.
UUGUCGUCAGCUCGUGUCGUGAGAUGUGGUUAGUCCGCAACGAGCGCAACCCCUACUUGUUAGUUGUCCAUCAUUCAGUUGGGCACUCUAGCGAGACUGCCGGUAAUAAACCGGAGGAAGGUGGGGAUGACGUCAAAUCAUCAUGCCCUUAUGACCUGGGCUACACACGUGCUACAAUGGUUGGUACAACGAGUUGCGAGUCGGUGACGGCGAGCUAAUCUCUUAAAGCCAAUCUCAGUUCGGAUUGUAGGCUGCAACUCGCCUACAUGAAGUCGGAAUCGCUAGUAAUCGCGGAUCAGCACGCCGCGGUGAAUACGUUCCCGGGCCUU